AGUCACUCCAGAAAACAAAUCAUCUUCAGCAGGAAGGAGAUCUCCAAUAGUCUGAGCCUCAAGUUCUUCAAGAGAUUCAAAAGGCUCAUCAUCCUCAUGGGGUGAAGCAACAGUUUUGGCAGGUUGAUUUGAUUGAACAUCAUUCUCUAAUAAACUCAACUUCGCACUAAAUACAUCAGAAAAUGAGCUUGAGAACAGGCUGCUUUCCCACUGAGUCACACUAAUACCAGCCCUAUUUCCAACCAAACCAUAAGAUGCAGGCUGCAGAGACAAACUUGACAGUGAUUUUGUACGAUGGUCCAUAGAAUUCCAUGAAGCCUUCAACAUACUAGCACUUCCUUCACCAAUGGAUAGCUUGUCAUUUUGAUCCAUGGCUAGCAUCAACUCCGGCAGUGCUCCGCCUGGUGAAAGUUUUUCUAAAGGUGAUGAAGCAACCAACUCGCUGCUAGGAAUUUGUACCAUUCCACCUGCCCCUAUUUGGUGAUCAGGCAUUGAAUGCGGCUUCCAAAACCCAAUUUGUUUCUCAGCAGGUAGCCGGAUGUCCUCAAAGAAAUGGGACGACGCAGUUCCACCCCUCUGAUCCAUAAUUUCAAACGGCAUCGCGCGGCUUUAUACACCCAAAAUUUUCAAAAACUUUUAACAGAAACCUGGUUAUUAUCCAAAUUGCUGGCUCCGUCCGGUGUUCAUUGCCCUUCUUCUCUGGAAAAAAUGUACAUCAACAACAUCACCAAUUGCCUCACUCUCUCCCUCCAAAAUUGAGCCAAAUUACGUGAUUCAGAAAGUCAAGGAAGAGAAAUUACGUAAAAAAGACAAUCAAUUAGAAGAUCAAGCAGAGGAAGAGAAAGAUGAAAGGAAAACUAUGGCACAAAGAAAGGAGAAGAAGAGAGAGCAAGGGAUCUUCGCAUAUGUGCCCCAAGAGAACCUCUUUCCCCCUGCAUUGCAAGCUAUAUUGCUCACCACACGAGAGAGAAUAUUUCCUUUUUGUUUUCUUCUAUUUAAUCGUAAUAAUUAUUUAAAAAAACAAAAAAGAAAGAAAGAGAAAUCAGAAUUCACUUUUGGAAGCCAACGAUUCAGAGCUCAAAUCGGCAACUAAGAAGAUUACGGCAAUGGUAGUGCGAAUUUCCGGCGAGAGUUGCCUCGCCGGCAACUCGCUGCGUUAUAGAAAGACUUUUUUUUUUUUCCCUUCUCGUCGGUGUGAGUUACAGGGAGAGAGAGAGAGAUGUGAUGUUAAUGUUAGUUGGCUUUGAAAACAAGACAAAGCAGAAAAGAAAAUAGGCGGGGUUGGGUGUUGCAGAUGAUAUUGUAGAUUAACGGAAGUGAAUAUCAG
Molecule: unclassified non-coding RNA, 1327 nt
Filed under: Hevea brasiliensis (rubber tree)
Lineage: Eukaryota; Viridiplantae; Streptophyta; Magnoliopsida; Malpighiales; Euphorbiaceae
Source: RNAcentral